UGACUAAAGAAAGACAUGCAGCAUAUUUGCUCCCAUCUGUCUUUCAAAUGAGACUGUCGUGAAGUGCGUGCUCAGUCAAGAAUGGGCAUGGCUCCUGUCUGGGCUCCUUCCAUCUUAACUCAUUACACCAUGGCUUGAUGGCAUGAGUAAUUGAGGAGCCAGUGCUGAAUGUAGCGUGUUCAGGGUUAAUCAUCCAACACGGUAGGCACAGCAUGUUGGGUGCGUGGGCGGUGCCCUUUAAAGAGUGAUGUCAUACAGGAAGUGGACAUAGUGAAAUGGGAUUGUGUUUGCUGAGCACUAUUCGUCCUCAUCCCAUUUUUUUUUGAAUUUUUUUUUUUUUGUGCUGACUGUUUGAACUGGAGGUGAUGUUUGUUGUCAUACCAGAACAGAAGCAGGACGUGGUGGUAGUUGUUGUGGUCGGGACACAGGUCAUCAAACACUGAACAACCUUUUGACAUUACUUCUGUACGUGACUAGGUAGUUCUGUUUUUCAGAAAUGUAUUUAUAUUUAUUUAUUUAUUUAUUUAUUUAUUUAUUUUAGCCACAAUGGCCUGCAGGCUGCUCUCCCUAGCACAUUGCCUGUAUAAGCUCAAGGAAAAACAGGUUAUAUAUUAUUGGUUUGUUUUUAUAUCUCUCAGAAGGAAACUGUCAAUCUGUCAAUCUUGUGUCAAACAGUACAGUAAUGUGCUGGCAUGGAUUAGUGACACGCUCUUCAGAGUUUAUUUAAAAAAAAAAAAAAAAAAAAAAGAAGAUAAAAGAAAAACAAAUCCUUAAGUGUUGUGACAGGCGUCCAUAACAUACACCCCCACGAUGACUGAAAAACAUAAACUAUGAACAAAGAAUGUUAAUUGGGUUGCGUUUGCCCCCCCCCCCCCCCCUUUCUAAAUAGGCCAUACAGGGCCUCUGGGGUGGAAGAGAGGAAGCUUGUCUUUGAACUGAAAGAGGUGCCAUUGUUACCAGGAAAACUCUUUGUUUUCAACAUCAGCAUUUGUCUCUGGGGGGGGGGGGGGCGGGGUGGCUUAUGGUGGGAAACCGUUCUAAUUCUCAACACAAACCGCUUGACAAGUAGCAAAAGAAUGAAGGCAUUGUUUUAUCCCCCCUUUCUGUAAAUGUUGGAUUAAACUUGUCAGUGGUUCCUCAUCAGCCUUCGUGUUUCCUGAACUGCUCGAUCGCAGGAUAGUGAUUGAGUUUCUGGCUCAUUCUCUGAGUUCGGUUAGUGAAGGCUUAUGGCUUGUGCUUCAGGCCUGUGUCAUUACUGAUGGCACUGACUUCUCAAGGGUCUGCUCUGUACAGGUCCUACAUAUAGCAAUGUGUAAGGCAUAAUACAUAUAGGUUUAAUUACAUAUAGCAAUGUGUGAGGCACAAUACAUAUAGGUUUAAUUACAUAUAGCAAUGUGUAAGGCAUAAUACAGUACUAUAGGUUUUGCGAGAAAUGACUGCUAUAAGAUACUAUUAAGGCUACAUAUUCGCUUGCCUUGUGUCUGAGAGAAAAAUGCCUGUGGUAUUGCUAGUGUAUACUCGUCUCUCUCUCCUCUCAGUCCCACUGCAGAACAUCUUUUUUUAAUAAAGCAAAGCAGUAUAUUGUGCAUCUGAGAUCAAAUUCAAAUCCUAUGGCCUACCAACAGUCUAAAUAAACUCAGAGCAGCAGACGACAGUCCUUUGAGCAUUCUAAUUUCUUAGAUCUGUGUUAAAUCACAUUCAAAUCGCCAUGUUGUAAUUAUCAUUCUCUAUUCUGUUAUCAGGGGCGCUUUGUUGAGUUUUGCUCUUGUAUGCUAAUAUAUGAACAUGAUGGGAACAGCAAACGGUUUCCUUCCCCCUUUGGGAUGUAAAUUAAUUAAGUCAUGCCUGAUGUUUGCUGUAGUAAAAACCAAGGCUGUUUCUGAAGGUAAACAUGCUUUUCCCCAUAAUCUUCCAUCUUUUCUCAAAGGCACUUGUAGACGCACAGUUCCGUUAAGGAGUUAGGGUUCUGUAUGGCUGGAGUUAGGGUUCUGUAUGGAUGGAGUUAGGGUUCUGUAUGGAUGGAGUUAGGGUUCCGUAUGGAUGGAGUUAGGGUUCCGUAUGGAUGGAGUUAGGGUUCCGUAUGGAUGGAGUUAGGGUUCUGUAUGGAUGGAGUUAGGGUUCCGUAUGGAUGGAGUUAGGGUUCUGUAUGGAUGGAGUUAGGGUUCUGUAUGGAUGGAGUUAGGGUUCCGUAUGGAUUGAGUUAGGGUUCUGUAUGGAUGGAGUUAGGGUUCUGUAUGGAUGGAGUUAGGGUUCUGUAUGGAUGGAGUUAGGGUUCCGUAUGGAUGGAGUUAGGGUUCUGUAUGGAUGGAGGACCCAACGGUUCACCCAGAUUGGGUCGUUUGUCGUUUUAUGGCACAUUGAUAGGCUCUUUUAUGAGCAUCAUGGGUCAGACUAUAAAGCGAUAGACACCCAGAGGAAAAGCACAGGCAGUGGCUGCACACAGACGUUGGGCCUGGCCUGUUUCCCCCCCCCCAGUCUGGCUCAUGUCCAGGUUAAACUGUAACAUUGCCUUGUUAAUUAUCCAUGGGUGGAGGAGUUGCAUCCAGCGCCGGGUGUAAUUUUCAUUCAGCCAUCAGACACAGCCUGUAAACAUGUCUGCUGCUCAGACUCUCGCCAAGCUCCUGACACAAAACACAGCUCGCUGUUUGCCCUUUCCUUGUUUUCUUUAAAAAAUGACAUUUUGUCACGUUGAUAAUAUUUCUGCAUCUUCACAAAACCAUGUUUGAUCUUGUUUUAAGAAAAAAUCUUUUAAUCUUUCAAGAGGGUAUAGUGUCAUGCAGCCAGCCAAUAGGCUAUUGCACUACAUGACUGUAAAGUAAGGAAAGAUGCAUAUUCUAGGCCUGCAUAUUCAAACAGAACAGACUGACAGUGGUGUGGCUAAUGUCAAGAUGUGGGUAGGUUUUUUAAAGAGGAAAGCCAAUCUGUUGACUGUAAUAAUAAUAAUAAUAAUAAUAAUAAUAAUAAUAAUAAUAAUAAUAAUAACUGUAGGCUCCCACAGUAAUUCAGUAUCAGAAUUUAAACGAGGUGUCUGCAGACAUGUUAGGCAAGAAGGCUAGUUGAUAAAUGUAUCAUGUGAAUUAUUGGUAUGCUACAGUAGUCUCAAGAAGCUGGACCAAUGAGCUUGGCUUCUGUGAAUUACAAGGUUGAAAAUGCUGAAAUUAUGUUUUUGCAACAUAUUAAAUUAUGGGAUGGGCUGUGGACCAACAACCCUUGAAAUCUCUUAUUAGUCAGUGAUGGGU
Molecule: long non-coding RNA, 3239 nt
Organism: Clupea harengus (Atlantic herring)
Lineage: Eukaryota; Metazoa; Chordata; Actinopteri; Clupeiformes; Clupeidae
Source: Ensembl